GCAAAUAUUUACUAAACACUAUGAUGUCAAGUGGUACAUGUGCAGAAGUAUCUUUUAUCUAGGGGUGUGGGACACAUCUUUGUCAGCAUUUGAAACUACAUUUGAGCAUGAUGGUGGAUAAAAGGAACAAUUCACUUCUCCAUAGGUUUUCAGCUGUAUAGCUGCUCAAAUAUGGAUUUAGGUGGAAUGUGUUCAACUAAGAUUCCCACAAAUUGAAGUGGGACUUUGAAACCACUGCUACCAUGAAGAUAACUCAAGUACCAUGCUUAGGGAAUUUGCCAUCUACUGGGGGCACCCACCCAUGGUAUAAGGCUGGUGGAGAAUGAGGGCUAAAGGGAACCUCAUAAGUCUAGAAGUUCUCUGUGGAGUUGGCUGCCUAGGGGUUGGCUGCCUAGAGCAGGCUUCUAAACUCUCUAGGUUACUAGAAUCUCCCUAGAGAUUCUGUUUCUAGGGAGUCUAAAAGGAUAUACACCUUAAGAAUUAGACAACACGAACAGUUAAUAC
This 504-nucleotide long non-coding RNA is filed under the name Bos taurus (domestic cattle). RNAcentral's name for it is "long non-coding RNA NONBTAT025693". The record is from RNAcentral. Lineage: Eukaryota; Metazoa; Chordata; Mammalia; Artiodactyla; Bovidae.